This 1498-nucleotide long non-coding RNA is filed under the name Anthonomus grandis grandis. RNAcentral's name for it is "uncharacterized LOC126747910". The record is from RNAcentral. Lineage: Eukaryota; Metazoa; Arthropoda; Insecta; Coleoptera; Curculionidae.
ACAGUUUUUAAAUGAAAGCUCUAUCUUUAUUAACAAAAAAGUUAUGCAAAAUUUUCGAUCUAAAAAAGUACAUGUUAAUGGUAAAAAACCGAAAUUUCGAUUUUUCUCAAAAACCGUAAACUUUUGAGUUUUUCAUAAUUACGUACAAGGUGCCCCUUUGCAAGGAGUACUUGACAGUUUUUAAAUGAAAGCUCUAUCUUUAUUAACAAAAAAGUUAUGCAAAAUUUUCGAUCUAAAAAAGUACAUGUUAAUGGUAAAAAACCGAAAUUUCGAUUUUUCUCAAAAACCGUAAACUUUUGAGUUUUUCAUAAUUACGUACAAGGUGCCCCUUUGCAAGGAGUACUUGACAGUUUUUAAAUGAAAGCUCUAUCUUUAUUAACAAAAAAGUUAUGCAAAAUUUUCGAUCUAAAAAAGUACAUGUUAAUGGUAAAAAACCGAAAUUUCGAUUUUUCUCAAAAACCGUAAACUUUUGAGUUUUUGAUAAUUACGUACAAGGUGCCCCUUUACUAGGAGUACUUGACAGUUUUUAAAUGAAAGCUCUAUCUUUAUUAACAAAAAAGUUAUGCAAAAUUUUCGAUCUAAAAAAGUACAUGUUAAUGGUAAAAAACCGAAAUUUCGAUUUUUCUCAAAAACCGUAAACUUUUGAGUUUUUCAUAAUUACGUACAAGGUGCCCCUUUGCAAGGAGUACUUGACAGUUUUUAAAUGAAAGCUCUAUCUUUAUUAACAAAAAAGUUAUGCAAAAUUUUCGAUCUAAAAAAGUACAUGUUAAUGGUAAAAAACCGAAAUUUCGAUUUUUCUCAAAAACCGUAAACUUUUGAGUUUUUCAUAAUUACGUACAAGGUGCCCCUUUGCAAGGAGUACUUGACAGUUUUUAAAUGAAAGCUCUAUCUUUAUUAACAAAAAAGUUAUGCAAAAUUUUCGAUCUAAAAAAGUACAUGUUAAUGGUAAAAAACCGAAAUUUCGAUUUUUCUCAAAAACCGUAAACUUUUGAGUUUUUGAUAAUUACGUACAAGGUGCCCCUUUGCAAGGAGCACUUGACAGUUUUUAAAUGAAAGCUCUAUCUUUAUUAACAAAAAAGUUAUGCAAAAUUUUCGAUCUAAAAAAGUACAUGUUAAUGGUAAAAAACCGAAAUUUCGAUUUUUCUCAAAAACCGUAAACUUUUGAGUUUUUGAUAAUUACGUACAAGGUGCCCCUUUGCAAGGAGUACUUGACCGUUUUUAAAUGAAAGCUCUAUCUUUAUUAACAAAAAAGUUAUGCAAAAUUUUCGAUCUAAAAAAGUACAUGUUAAUGGUAAAAAACCGAAAUUUCGAUUUUUCUCAAAAACCGUAAACUUUUGAGUUUUUGAUAAUUACGUACAAGGUGCCCCUUUGCAAGGAGCACUUGACAGUUUUUAAAUGAAAGCUCUAUCUUUAUUAACAAAAAAGUUAUGCAAAAUUUUCGAUCUAAAAAAGUACAUGUUAAUGGUAAAAAACCGAAAUUUCGAUUUUUCUCAAAAAC